Molecule: ribosomal RNA, 382 nt
Filed under: uncultured eukaryote
Lineage: Eukaryota
Description: partial 18S ribosomal RNA
Rfam family: Eukaryotic small subunit ribosomal RNA
Source: RNAcentral
CAAUAGCGUAUAUUAAAGUUGUUGCAGUUAAAAAGCUCGUAGUUGGAUUUCUGGUUGGAGCGACCGGUCGGGCAUUGAUUUGUCUGCACUGGAGUCGGUUCUGGCCAUCCUCUUGGAAAGUGCGUCUGUCAUUAAGUUGUCGGGCGUAUGAUCCAGGUCUUUUACUGUGAAAAAAUUAGAGUGUUUAAAGCAGGCCUUCGCCUUGAAUACAUUAGCAUGGAAUAAUAAGAUAGGACUUUGGUCUAUUUUGUUGGUUUGCAGACCGAAGUAAUGAUUAAUAGGGAUAGUUGGGGGUAUUUAUAUUCCAAUGUCAGAGGUGAAAUUCUUAGAUUUUCGGAAGAUAAACUUAUGCGAAAGCAUUUACCAAGGAUGUUUUCAUUAA